GGAAUUUAAUUGAAACAGAUACCCAGUUUCCAAAGUGUAGGAAAGGUGUAUCUCCUUCCUUGGGAUGGAGCAAGGAGAAAACCUUGCCAGUGUUUAUCUGAGGAUCUUAUCACCAGCGGUCUGGCCUCCCUAAGAAUAUGGACAAAGUAUUUCACUAUUGCAGAAGGGCUGUCCUCGUUUCUGGUAUAUUGGUUUGGUAUGCCCUGGACAGAACAAGAUGGCAGGCUGGACCUAGGAAAUCAGUAAAGAAGAACCUGGAAGGAAUUGCCUGAAGAGCUGGAGCUGCCCAGGAGAAUGCAGGUGCCCUCACAACCGCAGUCAUGGAGUGCAGUCCUGCAGAGAGAAUGAAGCUACCAAAGAGAACACAGAUACAGGAUGCUCAAGUUAAAUAAGACCACAGCAUCACGAAGUCCUUUUCAUUAGAAAGUUAAAGAGACACCCAGAAAGCUACAAAGCAAAUUGGAGAGAUUCCAAGACUUCAGUAGAAAUCACUAAUAGAGGAGAUUUCAUGACUGUGCUUUGAGCGAGUGCAAAAGCAUAAAGCAAAGAACUGUGAUGAACACCAGGAGUCCUGAAGUAGAAUAGGACUCAUAGCAGGACAAGAACAAUAUAUGUCAUCCAGAAGAGGGUCCAGAAAAAAUACAGAUUAUUCUCAGCCACACUACAUGGAUUUAUCAUUAGUUCUUUAGUAAGGAAGAACAAGAAAUCAAUAGCAGACCCAUUCUAAAAUCUUAACUAUAAAGAUCUCAUUAUACUAUG
Molecule: long non-coding RNA, 759 nt
Organism: Hyaena hyaena (striped hyena)
Lineage: Eukaryota; Metazoa; Chordata; Mammalia; Carnivora; Hyaenidae
Exons: 2
Source: RefSeq, a predicted model, not a curated record